AUUGAACGCUGGCGGCAUGCUUUACACAUGCAAGUCGAACGGCAGCACGGGGGCAACCCUGGUGGCGAGUGGCGAACGGGUGAGUAAUGCAUCGGAACGUACCCAAUCGUGGGGGAUAACGUGGCGAAAGUCACGCUAAUACCGCAUACGUCCUGAGGGAGAAAGCAGGGGAUCGCAAGACCUUGCGCGAUUGGAGCGGCCGAUGUCUGAUUAGCUAGUUGGUGGGGUAAAAGCCUACCAAGGCGACGAUCAGUAGCUGGUCUGAGAGGAUGAUCAGCCACAUCGGGACUGAGACACGGCCCGAACUCCUACGGGAGGCAGCAGUGGGGAAUUUUGGACAAUGGGCGCAAGCCUGAUCCAGCCAUGCCGCGUGCAGGAUGAAGGCCUUCGGGUUGUAAACUGCUUUUGUACGGUAACGAAACGCCCCUUCCUAAUGAAGGGGGUGAUGACGGUACCGUAAGAAUAAGCACCGGCUAACUACGUAGCCAGCAGCCGCGGUAAACG
This 504-nucleotide ribosomal RNA is filed under the name uncultured bacterium. Its description in RNAcentral is "bacterial SSU rRNA". It matches the Rfam family "Bacterial small subunit ribosomal RNA", at positions 30 to 527 of the family's 1533-position model. The record is from RNAcentral.